CUUGGCGACUAUAGCAAGUUGGCACCACCUGAUCCCAUCUCGAACUCAGAAGUGAAACAAUUUAGCGCCUAUGAUAGUGUGGUUUUGCCAUGCCAAAGUCGGUCAUCGCCAAGC
RNAcentral lists this ribosomal RNA (114 nucleotides) under Gammaproteobacteria bacterium RIFCSPHIGHO2_12_FULL_42_13. Lineage: Bacteria; Pseudomonadati; Pseudomonadota; Gammaproteobacteria. The record is from RNAcentral.